CCUUUUGGAGAAGACUCUUUCCCUCCCCAGGACAGCAGCAGUUGCCCUACUGAGUUAAUGUGAUAAGGAGAAAAAAAAAAGGGAUUGAUGGUUAAGAGAAUGGUUGAACACAGCACAUCUCAGGAUGGGGCAAUAUUUGGUGAGAACCAUAUUGGAUUCUACCAAAUUACAAAUAUAUUCCAGGUUGGCCUGAUCACUCACUCACCACUCCCUGCAACUCCAUGGAGAAGAUAUAAGCUGUCAAAAAUGUAUUUGUGAGUCUGAUGAGCUCUUUCACCCAGGGCGAAGAAUGCAUGAAGGAAAUGAACAUGAUGGAUCAUAUACAUCAUACUGUCAUCCCCCAAGAGUGAGACAAACAGUAUCUUGAGGAGGCUCACACUGUCUUCCUGAUAAAAGCCAACAAGAAUGUGCAUUAAAAUGGAUCCUGUAUUUUAUGAUAAACUAUUCUCGCCCUGUGUUAUAUUGUGUUUUAUACAUAUAUACACCCCACCUUUAUGGAAUAAAAAUGAAUUCAGUGGACCUAAGGCAUUUGCUCUGGGGAUUUGGGAAUUAAAUACUGGAGGGCUAGACAAUGUCAAAAAUUGGAGUGGAAUUAAG
Molecule: long non-coding RNA, 597 nt
Filed under: Homo sapiens (human)
Lineage: Eukaryota; Metazoa; Chordata; Mammalia; Primates; Hominidae
Description: HSALNT0347186
Source: RNAcentral